GAUGAAGAACGUAGCGAAAUGCGAUACGUAAUGUGAAUUGCAGAAUUCAGUGAAUCAUCGAAUCUUUGAACGCAUAUUGCGCUCUUUGGUAUUCCGAAGAGCAUGCUUGUUUGAGUAUCAGUAAACACCUCAAAGCUUUUGGAUUUUUUAAUCGAAAAGCUUUGGACUUGAGCAAUCCCAACACCAAUCUUUUUGAGAUCGGUGGCGGGUUGCUUGAAAUGCAGGUGCAGCUGGACAUUCUCCUGAGCUAAAAGCAUAUUCAUUUAGUCCCGUCAAACGGAUUAUUACUUUUGCUGCAGCUAACAUAAAGGGAGUUUGACCGUAUUGACUGACUGAUGCAGGAUUUCACAAGGGUCGGCAACGAUUCUUGUUAAACUCGAUCUCAAAUCAAGUAAGACUACCCGCUGAACUUAAGCAUAUCAAUAAGCGGAGGA
RNAcentral lists this unclassified non-coding RNA (434 nucleotides) under soil metagenome. RNAcentral's name for it is "partial contains 5.8S ribosomal RNA, internal transcribed spacer 2, and large subunit ribosomal RNA". The stretch from base 1 to 120 matches the Rfam family "5.8S ribosomal RNA", at positions 35 to 154 of the family's 154-position model. The record is from RNAcentral.